GUUCCCGCUUCUCUUCAGUCUCCCACUCUAUUUCCACAGCAGUCCUUCUGCCUGGCUGUCAUUCAGCUCAGCUGUUUUCUGGAGACUUCUGCCUGCCUUGCCUGCACUUGAAGCAUCGUGCUAUGGGCAGAGAUGUAGCUAGAGAAGGGAAGACAUGUGGGCUGUGCAGCUGUGGUGUGCGAAGGAUGAGAGAGUCACAGCCAGGGGGAAAGAGAAGGUGAGGAGACACCUCCAGCUUCAGUGUCCUGGCAUCUGAGCAGAAACAUUACCAACCUGCUCCUGGCUUGUCUGUAAAGGGAUGUGCGGAGUCGGAGGGAGUUGGAAGGGCUGGGUCCUGGCUUCCCUGGAUGUGGGAAGACCCGGGAGCCUCAGAGAGCGAUGAAGUCAUUAU
Long non-coding RNA from Nannospalax galili (Upper Galilee mountains blind mole rat), 391 nucleotides. RefSeq lists it as uncharacterized. Lineage: Eukaryota; Metazoa; Chordata; Mammalia; Rodentia; Spalacidae. The record is from RefSeq and is a predicted model, not a curated record. The transcript has 3 exons.